UGGGGAAUAUUGGACAAUGGGGGAAACCCUGAUCCAGCAAUGCCGCGUGUGUGAAGAAGGCCUUCGGGUUGUAAAGCACUUUCAGUAGCGAAGAAGAUCAUUGGGUGAAUACCCCGAUGGUUUGACGUUAACUACAGAAGAAGCACCGGCUAACUCUGUGCCAGCAGCCGCGGUAAGACAGAGGGUGCGAGCGUUAAUCGGAAUUACUGGGCGUAAAGCGUACGUAGGCGGAUGCCUCAGUCAGAUGUGAAAUCCCCGAGCUCAACUUGGGAACUGCAUUUGAUACUGGGCAUCUAGAGUAUGGUAGAGGAGAGUGGAAUUUCCGGUGUAGCGGUGAAAUGCGUAGAUAUCGGAAGGAACAUCAGUGGCGAAGGCGGCUCUCUGGGCCAAUACUGACGCUGAGGUACGAAAGCGUGGGUAGCAAACAGG
RNAcentral lists this ribosomal RNA (429 nucleotides) under uncultured bacterium. Its description in RNAcentral is "bacterial SSU rRNA". It matches the Rfam family "Bacterial small subunit ribosomal RNA", at positions 355 to 776 of the family's 1533-position model. The record is from RNAcentral.